This 756-nucleotide ribosomal RNA is filed under the name uncultured bacterium. Its description in RNAcentral is "bacterial SSU rRNA". It matches the Rfam family "Bacterial small subunit ribosomal RNA", at positions 346 to 1104 of the family's 1533-position model. The record is from RNAcentral.
AGGCAGCAGUGGGGAAUAUUGGGCAAUGGUCGAGAGACUGACCCAGCCAUGCCGCGUGCAGGAUGAAGGCUUUCUGAGUCGUAAACUGCUUUUACCAGGGAAGAAAAAAGGGGAUGCGUCCUCUACUGACGGUACCUGGUGAAUAAGCACCGGCUAACUCCGUGCCAGCAGCCGCGGUAAUACGGAGGGUGCAAGCGUUGUCCGGAUUUAUUGGGUUUAAAGGGUGCGUAGGCGGCUUUUUAAGUCUGGGGUGAAAGCCCGUUGCUCAACAACGGAACUGCCCUGGAAACUGGAGAGCUUGAGUACAGACGAGGGUGGCGGAAUGGACGGUGUAGCGGUGAAAUGCAUAGAUACCGUCCAGAACACCGAUUGCGAAGGCAGCUGCCUAGACUGUAACUGACGCUGAGGCACGAAAGCGUGGGGAGCGAACAGGAUUAGAUACCCUGGUAGUCCACGCCGUAAACGAUGGAUACUCGCUGCGGGCGAUAGACGGUCCGUGGCUUAGCGAAAGCGUUAAGUAUCCCACCUGGGGAGUACGCUCGCAAGAGUGAAACUCAAAAGAAUUGACGGGGGCCCGCACAAGUGGUGGAGCAUGUGGUUUAAUUCGAUGAUACGCGAGGAACCUUACCUAGGCUAGAAUGCGCGUGACCGGUUCAGAGAUGAACCUUUCCUUCGGGACACAAAGCAAGGUGCUGCAUGGCCGUCGUCAGCUCGUGCCGUGAGGUGUUGGGUUAAGUCCCGCAACGAGCGCAACCC